UUAGCCCCAUCGCAACAGGGCAAGAGCAGGAGGCCAGUCAUGUUUUUCGACAAUGUGGUGAUCGCCGGAGUGCUGACUGUCGGCCUCAUGGUUCUGUUUUUCGCAGGGUUUGGAUUCUUUAUCUGGAAAGACGCGAAUAAGCGCAAGAAGCCUUAAGUCUUUCCAGGGCAACGAGCACGCAAGGCAUUUUGGGCAACUUCGGUUGCCCUUUUUUUUG
RNAcentral lists this small RNA (217 nucleotides) under Pseudomonas protegens. RNAcentral describes it as "PhrS". It matches the Rfam family "PhrS". Lineage: Bacteria; Pseudomonadati; Pseudomonadota; Gammaproteobacteria; Pseudomonadales; Pseudomonadaceae. RNAcentral also lists the same sequence under 1 other name. The record is from RNAcentral.